CUGGCAACACUGGCCGGGUGACUUGUCAAAAAACAGCUGUGUAAUUUAAAAUUGAAAUAAAAUAGAAAAAUAGGCAAAAUAGCCCUUAAAAGUAAUUAAUAUAGUAGUAGUGGUCAUAAAUAUAGUGUACAAAUGUUUGUGGCGUCAUUGUAGAAAGAUAACUGAUAAGAAUCUUCAUCACACGGAGGCGGUCAGCUGUCAACCGCUCAAUUCAAAUUAAUUGGAUUUUAACGGGAAGUAUCGUUCUAUUAUAUUUGUGUCACACUUUACUGCAUUAGUUCCACAACUGCAGAUUGUAUUAUUUACAUUACAUAUCAGUUUUACGUCAAAAACAAAGUCAGCCUUGUAACCUACCCUAACAUUGCAAUAAAAAUAAAAAGCGAGUAAAAACCAAAGAUAACUUUCUCCUGAUUGCUUAAACAAUUAAAUCAAUAUAUUAUCGGGUAAAUUACAUGUUCCUUUAACAGUUAAUAAAGUUAAAUUAGGUACACAUUUAAUAAGCAUCACGUGUACAGAAUAAAUAAAUAUAUCUUUUAAUAUCUCUUCAUUUCAAUUUCGUGCAUAAUUCUUUAUCAAUCAUAUGCUGUUCUUUGCUGUGUAAUCUUAAAGCUACGGAAUGCAUACUUGAAACUAUCAGUCAUCUAGUGUACUUAACCUGCUAUUCUUUUCUGUCUUUCUGAUCUUGGUUACUUCACGCUUUCAGUAAAUACCUGACACCAUGUCCAUUAAGACACGAAAGGCUACUGUCAAAGACAUGGAGGUAAAACUGAAGGACACCCUGGAAGAGCUGAAAACAUCUAAGGAGCUCUGUGAUCAGCUGUUGAGGGAACGUGAUGAGAGCGAGGAAGAAAUACAGAACAUAAUAAAUAAAAACUCAGGAUUGAAGUCUCAACUUGCCGAGUUACACAUUCAAUAUAUGGAUAUUCUGGAUCAGCGGGAUAGGUUACAGAUACACGCAGAUGGCAGCUCUGAAGUGGACAACAAGUGUUUUUUAUAUAUAUUUUUUUGUGACUAUAAUUUGAAAAGAUAUUGAAUUAUAUAAUUGUAAUUUAAUUAUAUUUAAUUGUAAUAGACAGCUGUGUUGCUGGGAAGUUUGUUCUUCACCACUUCUUCUUCCCAGCCAUAACACUAGGAAGUGGUGAAAGGGGGGCGUUUUGGGGGUGCUGUCCUUAUGUAUUACUUGACGUGAAAAAGUGCUAGAAACUAGCCUAUUUUCAAUAAACGUUUUUGACUUUGA
Molecule: long non-coding RNA, 1237 nt
Organism: Helicoverpa armigera (cotton bollworm)
Lineage: Eukaryota; Metazoa; Arthropoda; Insecta; Lepidoptera; Noctuidae
Exons: 2
Source: RefSeq, a predicted model, not a curated record